AUUGUUGGUGAGUGUUGAGUAUGUGAGGAGGUCGACGUGGUGAGGCUGGCGGCUGUCUUGGUCUCACUCCACGGCGGCAGCGGCAGAGUCAUGGCUGAUCUCCGCGUAUCUCUGCCAUCCUGCCUCCAUCACCCUCCUCCUUCAUCGCCUCCACCGGUUCCAUAUUGGAAAAUGAAGUGGUUUGGGUGUGAUGAACUUCUGUCGUCUACAAGCAUGUUGCCUAUGGAAUGAAUUGGAUAAGAAAAUCUUGUACUGCUGUUAACUGUUAACCUCAAGGCCUGUUUUGAAAGCAACACUGCUGCAACUUUGAUGCCUAGUGGAAGAAAUGGAUGGAUUAUCUCUGAAGUUUGUACAAGAGCUCGCAUAAUUAUGCAGAUGUCUUGAAAGUUCCUACAAUAUCGUAUUGGCACGACUUGAAAAUGAUUCUUGGCUUGAUUGAUGUAGUUAAACGUCUUUGAUCUAAGAAUCUGUGGCCUGUACAUGGAGCUUGUUCAGCUUAGUUUUUGAUUGCACUGGAAACAUUGCCUGCUGCAGGAGGCUAUCUGACACAUACUAAUGACAAAAAUAAAUCUGCAGGUUCUUGGUGAAUCCUGUGGGAUGCUUGUUUGAAGGGUUGCAGAGUUUAAAGGAUGAAUUGUUUUACACACAGAUAUGAUUGUAAAAGAUACAUUGCCUGCUGUAGGAGGCUUCCUCUGAAAUAUUUUAAUGGUUGUUCUUGGUGAAUCCUGUGGGAUGCUUGUUUGAAGGGUUGCAGAGUUUCAAGGAUGAGUCGUUUUACACACUGACAUGGUGUUAUCACCAGAUGUAGUAUGGAGCACCACUAUUUAAUCAGGAUUGCAAUGUGACAGCCUGAAAUUUCAAGCGGAGCAGCGUGUCCGAAAGGCAGAGAUUACCCGCACGCCGAAGAAUUGGCACAGUCGAAUGGUGUGCUUGGAUAAGAAGAUACCUAGAUACCUUCCGUCGACGGCUACUUUUAAGGCUUUGGGAAGGUCAAAAUUACUGCCUUGUUUUAACUUUCAAUAAACUGUAAAACGUC
Procambarus clarkii (red swamp crayfish) is the source of this 1036-nucleotide non-coding RNA. The record is from RefSeq and is a predicted model, not a curated record. Lineage: Eukaryota; Metazoa; Arthropoda; Malacostraca; Decapoda; Cambaridae.